AUUGAACGCUGGCGGCAGGCCUAACACAUGCAAGUCGAACGAGUGGCGGACGGGUGAGUAAUGUCUGGGAAACUGCCCGAUGGAGGGGGAUAACUACUGGAAACGGUAGCUAAUACCGCAUACCAUCGGAUGUGCCCAGAUGGGAUGAGCUUGUAGGUGAGGUAACGGCUCACCUAGGCGACGAUCCCUAGCUGGUCUGAGAGGAUGACCAUCCACACUGGAAAUGAGACACGGUCCAGAGUCCUACGGUAGGCAGCAGUGGGGAAUAGUGCACAAUGGGCGGAAGCGUGAUGCAGCCAGGCCGGGUGUAUGAAGAAGGCCUUCGGGUUGUAAAGUACUUUCAGCGGGGAGGCGUUACCCGCAGAAGAGGCAUCGGCUAACUCCGUGCCAGAAGCCGCGGUAAUUC
RNAcentral lists this ribosomal RNA (406 nucleotides) under uncultured bacterium. RNAcentral's name for it is "partial 16S ribosomal RNA". It matches the Rfam family "Bacterial small subunit ribosomal RNA", at positions 30 to 526 of the family's 1533-position model. The record is from RNAcentral.